Molecule: long non-coding RNA, 2287 nt
Organism: Tripterygium wilfordii
Lineage: Eukaryota; Viridiplantae; Streptophyta; Magnoliopsida; Celastrales; Celastraceae
Exons: 8
Source: RefSeq, a predicted model, not a curated record
UCCCUAUUUCAGAUGCUGACAAAUUCUCUAAUAAAAUACCUACCAAGUAAAAAAAAAAACACUAAAUACAAAAAACGAAACGUCUUCUACCUAUCAUGUCAUCGUCGGUUCACUGAUUCUCUCUCUAUGUUAUUAUUCUCAAACAUGGCCUCCGACAAUUUGAUCAACAACAACGCUGUCUUGAAAAAGCUUAAAGCCAAUGAGGACUGCCGACGCAUUCGAUUUUGGUACAGAUGGCUGGCGUGCUCCUCAAUUUCGCGUGAUUCAUAGCUUGGUUGCGAUCAGCCGGCUCAGAUGGUUGGCGUGCUCCUCAAUUUGGUGGGGGAUGGAGUCUUUGAUUUGCUGUGGGGGAUGGAGUCUUCGAUUUGCUAUGGGUGUUUGGCCUGAUUCAUAGCUUGGUUACGAUCGGUCGGCUCAGGUGAGGGAGUAGUGGGGGUUGGUCGACAUAAGAAGAAUGCAGAGGCCUGCGAUGGAAGAAACCACCGCGCACUUGGAUGGUGUUAGGCUGUCAGAUCAGAGUGUGUUUGAUCUUGGCUAAAACCAUUAUAUCAAAUGCUACUACCCUUUCAUUCAUGCCUCUUCGACGAUACAUUUUUUUAUCCGAGCAAGGGGAUUAAAAACUAGGUCAACAAUGAAUUGCAGAUGGCCAGAUGAUCAUGCGCCAUGACUCAUGCCAAUGGUGCUUAACUCUUGCUUUCUGGGAAAGUUCUAGGAGUGAAGCUGUCAGAUGGAAGGGAGUUCUUGACCAAAACCAUAAUAUGAAAUGUUACUAGAUCGGCUACCUUUGGAAGAUUAAUUUCAAGAGUAUGUUAAGGCCCCAUCCUUUCUUUCUACUCACAUGUGUGUUAAAGCUGAUGUUUUGGCUCCAGCUACAGGUUGUCACCAUUUUCUCUGGAGCUUAUUUGGCCUUUGAUGGUUUAGGUUCGAGCAACUGGAGGUGCCUGGCAUAAGGUCCUUUUUUACCAUGAUAGUUACCUCAAUCUCGGAUAUAAAUUUUUCCAAGAAUGGAAGACAUAUAUUUAAUCGUGACUAUCAAGGUUCUACUGGCAGAGGAACAUAAUACCCUUGCAGCAAGUCCAUCCAAUCCACCGGAAUUAUGUGGUAAUGCCUCCUUUUGUCUAAGUUAAUUGUUAUGAUAUUUUGAGGGAUUAUAUCGUCCCUACACGAGCCCUAAUGUUCAGAAUUAUUUUGAUGUUCUGGCAUAGUAGGUUUGUUUUAUUCUCCUUCUCCUCUUUAAUUUUUUUUUUAAAAAUAUUUUGUUUACCUAGAAUUGAUUUUAGGUUCAGUUCAUCGGCUGGAGCAUUCAUUGUAUAAUAUCUUCUUCUAUUGACAUACUACUAUUAUAUAAUAUAUACAUCCAAUGUAUAUAUUCGUGGAGUGAAUUUUGGAUUGAUUUCUUUUUCUUAUGUUGUUUGGUUAUAUGAUCUUUAAUCUGAUAUGAGUUUGGUCAUGUUUUGACAUUUAAGGUAUGAUUGUUGGUUGUUUUUUUUUUUCUUGAUCUUUCUGUCUUUAAAUUGAAUUGUUUAAAUUGGGAAGUCAUUGCAUAUGACAAACUUUGUGUAGGAGAAAAAAAAGUUGGUGUAGUAAUUGAGGUCUUACUGAAAGAAAUAUUGGUAUUGUGCUUCUAAUCUGUUGGAUGUUACAGAUUUUACAACACAAAAAAAUGAAGGGUCAAGAAAAGGCUCUGAGUCCUUAAUAUGAGUUUUGUAGUUGUCUUUGUUGUUGGUAACUCUGCAACCGACUCUCAAUUAAUAUAAUUGGUUUAUGUUUCUGAGUUGGUGCUGAUUGUCAAUGGGAGAUCAAAGGUGUAAUCAUGGUCCUCUAUGGAGAAAAAAAAACAGGAGCCGAAGAGAGGAGGUUAAGGGGCCCGUGAGUCCCAGAUUACAAAUGGCCCAAGUCCUAGAUAAAUCUAUACUUCCUCCUGGAGAAAGAAGACUAAUUUCAUCUCUGUUAUCCAAGUCUUUCUCCUCUACUUGACUUGGUUAAUCACCAAGUAUGUCAAGUAUGAUUAGCCUCUUCGUGGUGAUACAGAUUUCUAUUUGGUCCAUUUUAUAAGCAAUUAUGACCGAAACACUCUGAUACUUGCAUAAACCCGUUUGUUUUCUUUUUGUUAAGAGGUUCCUUUUUAAUUUCCACAGCUUUAAAAAUGCGUUUGUGUGCAUACAAAUUUGUGGGGCGAUCAAACUCUAUUCACGGAAAGUACCGGUGAUGCUUAACUUUGGUUGCUGGGAUUGUAAAAUUACAAUAAAUUUUUGAUGUGGUCAUUGUAAAUUUACCUUUAAAAAAA